GCCCAGAUGGCGGAAUUGGUAGACGCGUGGGUCUCAAACACCCAUGGUGGCAACACCGUGCCGGUUCGACCCCGGCUCUGGGUA
RNAcentral lists this transfer RNA (84 nucleotides) under Catalinimonas alkaloidigena. Its description in RNAcentral is "Bacteroidetes bacterium CNU-914 tRNA". It matches the Rfam family "tRNA". From Rfam's summary of the family: Transfer RNA (tRNA) molecules are approximately 80 nucleotides in length. Their secondary structure includes four short double-helical elements and three loops (D, anti-codon, and T loops). The record is from Rfam by way of RNAcentral. Lineage: Bacteria; Pseudomonadati; Bacteroidota; Cytophagia; Cytophagales; Catalimonadaceae.